RNAcentral lists this ribosomal RNA (398 nucleotides) under uncultured bacterium. RNAcentral's name for it is "bacterial SSU rRNA". It matches the Rfam family "Bacterial small subunit ribosomal RNA", at positions 28 to 428 of the family's 1533-position model. The record is from RNAcentral.
AACGAACGCUGGCGGCGUGCUUAACACAUGCAAGUCGAGCGGUAAGGCCCUUUCGGGGGUACGACGAGCGGCGAACGGGUGAGUAACACGUGGGUGACCUGCCCUCAGCUCUGGGAUAAGCCUGGGAAACCGGGUCUAAUACCGGAUAUGACUCCAUGACGCAUGUUGGUGGGGUGGAAAGCCUUGUGCGGCUGAGGAUGGGCCCGCGGCCUAUCAGCUUGUUGGUGGGGUGANGGCCUACCAAGGCGACGACGGGUAGCCGGCCUGAGAGGGCGACCGGCCACACUGGGACUGAGACACGGCCCAGACUCCUACGGGAGGCAGCAGUGGGGAAUCUUGCGCAAUGGGCGAAAGCCUGACGCAGCGACGCCGCGUGAGGGAUGACGGCCUGGUUGUAA